GAAUUGACGGGGGCCCGCACAAGCGGUGGAGCAUGUGGUUUAAUUCGAUGCAACGCGAAGAACCUUACCUGGUCUUGACAUCCACGGAAGUUUUCAGAGAUGAGAAUGUGCCUUCGGGAACCGUGAGACAGGUGCUGCAUGGCUGUCGUCAGCUCGUGUUGUGAAAUGUUGGGUUAAGUCCCGCAACGAGCGCAACCCUUAUCCUUUGUUGCCAGCGGUCCGGCCGGGAACUCAAAGGAGACUGCCAGUGAUAAACUGGAGGAAGGUGGGGAUGACGUCAAGUCAUCAUGGCCCUUACGACCAGGGCUACACACGUGCUACAAUGGCGCAUACAAAGAGAAGCGACCUCGCGAGAGCAAGCGGACCUCAUAAAGUGCGUCGUAGUCCGGAUUGGAGUCUGCAACUCGACUCCAUGAAGUCGGAAUCGCUAGUAAUCGUGGAUCAGAAUGCCACGG
This 455-nucleotide ribosomal RNA is filed under the name Shigella flexneri. Its description in RNAcentral is "bacterial SSU rRNA". It matches the Rfam family "Bacterial small subunit ribosomal RNA", at positions 907 to 1362 of the family's 1533-position model. Lineage: Bacteria; Pseudomonadati; Pseudomonadota; Gammaproteobacteria; Enterobacterales; Enterobacteriaceae. The record is from RNAcentral.